RNAcentral lists this non-coding RNA (117 nucleotides) under Nomascus leucogenys (northern white-cheeked gibbon). The record is from Rfam by way of RNAcentral. Lineage: Eukaryota; Metazoa; Chordata; Mammalia; Primates; Hylobatidae.
GCCGGGCAUGGUGGCUCAUGCCUGUGAUCCCAGCACUUUGGGAGACUGAGGUGGGUGGAUCACCUGCGGUCAGGAGUUCUGGACCAGCCUGACCAACAAGGAGAACACUCGUCUCUA